RNAcentral lists this ribosomal RNA (210 nucleotides) under uncultured bacterium. RNAcentral describes it as "partial 16S ribosomal RNA". It matches the Rfam family "Bacterial small subunit ribosomal RNA", at positions 568 to 776 of the family's 1533-position model. The record is from RNAcentral.
CGCGUAGGCGGCUCGUGAAGUCGGGUGUGAAAGCCCGGGGCUCAACCCCGGAACGGCAUCCGAUACUGGCGGGCUUGAGACCGGGAGAGGAGGGUGGAAUACCCAGUGUAGAGGUGAAAUUCGUAGAUAUUGGGUGGAACACCGGUGGCGAAAGCGGCUCUCUGGCCCGGAUCUGACGCUGAGGCGCGAAAGCGUGGGGAGGCAAAACGG